Triticum aestivum (bread wheat) is the source of this 129-nucleotide non-coding RNA. The record is from Rfam. Lineage: Eukaryota; Viridiplantae; Streptophyta; Magnoliopsida; Poales; Poaceae.
AAUGUACUCCCUCCGUCCCAAAAUACUUGUCGGAGGAAUGGAUGUAUCUAGACGUAUUUUAGUCCUAGAUAGAUACAUCCAUUUUUAUGCAUUUCUCCGACGAGUAUUUCCGGACGGAGGGAGUAUUAG